AUGGCUUCUAAGCUUUUACCUUCUCUAGAAUGUUUAUUUGAGUCACAGUCUUCCACUCGCCCAAAUUCCAUGUUUGCCUCUAAAGAAGCCUGCCCAGUCCUGCGUAUUAUGUACCAGACAGUCAUUCUGAUCAUUGAGUCAAAUGUGUAGCUCCCCCUCUCGCAACUCACAGUGUUGAAAACAGGAGAAGCUUGAAGAGUCACUGCGGCCUUGCUGCUGACGGCAGAGACUCGGCUCUUCUUUCUGGUUCUGCCGCUGCCUUGCCUGGUGAGCCUGAGUAAAUCGCUUCAGAGUGCUAAGACUUCGUUUUGUCUUCUGACAGUUUUUAGCUGAAUUAUUUUGAGAUCUAUGGCUGAAGCCUCUUGUUUCACUAUCGAGUGUUAUAAAACAUAAAAAUUAAUAACAAGAAGCAGAAACAAAAAAAUUGCAAGAAUUCUUUGUUACUUAAAUUGUAAAUUCUUGGGAGCAAGAAUCCUCUUUGGAACACUUAGCAAGUGCCUAAUGACAAUUGUAAAUAGUGUUUCCUUUCCAGAUAACAACGUUAGCAUAGAUUGUGCAACUGUGAAGGGUGCUUAGCACCUUCGAUUUCCAGGGGCAUUAAAAACACAC
Molecule: long non-coding RNA, 609 nt
Filed under: Apteryx owenii (little spotted kiwi)
Lineage: Eukaryota; Metazoa; Chordata; Aves; Apterygiformes; Apterygidae
Description: lncRNA (ENSAOWG00000004629.1)
Source: RNAcentral